RNAcentral lists this transfer RNA (74 nucleotides) under Scherffelia dubia. RNAcentral describes it as "tRNA-Asp". It matches the Rfam family "tRNA". From Rfam's summary of the family: Transfer RNA (tRNA) molecules are approximately 80 nucleotides in length. Their secondary structure includes four short double-helical elements and three loops (D, anti-codon, and T loops). Further hydrogen bonds mediate the characteristic L-shaped molecular structure. tRNAs have two regions of fundamental functional importance: the anti-codon, which is responsible for specific mRNA codon recognition, and the 3' end, to which the tRNAs corresponding amino acid is attached (by aminoacyl-tRNA synthetases). tRNAs cope with the degeneracy of the genetic code in two manners: having more than one tRNA (with a specific anti-codon) for a particular amino acid; and 'wobble' base-pairing, i.e. permitting non-standard base-pairing at the 3rd anti-codon position. Lineage: Eukaryota; Viridiplantae; Chlorophyta; Chlorodendrophyceae; Chlorodendrales; Chlorodendraceae. The record is from RNAcentral.
GAGGAAAUAGCUUAGUUGGUUAGAGUAUUGGCCUGUCACGCCAAAGGUCGCGGGUUCAAAUCCCGUUUUUCUCG